This 496-nucleotide ribosomal RNA is filed under the name uncultured bacterium. Its description in RNAcentral is "partial 16S ribosomal RNA". It matches the Rfam family "Bacterial small subunit ribosomal RNA", at positions 28 to 507 of the family's 1533-position model. The record is from RNAcentral.
GACGAACGCUGGCGGCGUGCUUAACACAUGCAAGUCGAACGGGCCUGCCCUUUUUUGGGUGGGUUGAGUGGCGAACGGGUGAGUAUCACGUGAGUAACCUGCCCCCUGCUCCUGGAUAACGCUCUGAAAGGGGUGCUAAUCCGGGGUGUGCUGGUGCUGCCGCAUGGUGGUGCCGGGAUAGGUUCCCCUUUUUUUUGGGGUUGUGGUGGGGGAUGGGCUGGCGGCCUCUCAGCUUGUUGGUGGGGGUAUGGCCUAGCAAGGCGGGGACGGGUAGCCGGCGUGAGAGGGUGGACGGCAACACUGGGACUGAGACACGGCCACGACGCCUGCGGGAGGCAGCAGUGGGGGGGAAUGCGCAAGGAGCGGAAGCCUGACGCCGCGACGCCGCGUGAGCGACGGAGGGCUUCGGGUUGUGAACCUCUGUCGCCGGUGGAGAAGGAGCACCCGUGUGGGGUGCUGACGGUAGCCGGGUUAAGAAGCGCCGGCUAACUACGUG